GCCAGGUGUGGUAGUGUGCACCUGUAAUCCCAACUACUUAGGAAGCUGAGGUGGGAGGAUGGCUUGAGCCCAGGAGACCGAGGUUGCAGUGAGCUAAAAUCAUGCCACUGCACUCUAUCCUGGGCAACAGAGCCAGAUCCUGUCUCAG
Unclassified non-coding RNA from Pongo abelii (Sumatran orangutan), 148 nucleotides. It matches the Rfam family "Metazoan signal recognition particle RNA". Rfam says of the family: The signal recognition particle (SRP) is a universally conserved ribonucleoprotein. It is involved in the co-translational targeting of proteins to membranes. The eukaryotic SRP consists of a 300-nucleotide 7S RNA and six proteins: SRPs 72, 68, 54, 19, 14, and 9. Lineage: Eukaryota; Metazoa; Chordata; Mammalia; Primates; Hominidae. The record is from Ensembl.